AGACUCUAUCAUUGUGAUAGAGCAUUAAUAUGGAGUACAUUGAAUGGCCCGUAUAGCUGGCGUCAAUAUUCCUGAC
Molecule: non-coding RNA, 76 nt
Organism: Nitrincola nitratireducens
Lineage: Bacteria; Pseudomonadati; Pseudomonadota; Gammaproteobacteria; Oceanospirillales; Oceanospirillaceae
Source: Rfam